This is a long non-coding RNA of Saccostrea cuccullata (small rock oyster), 789 nucleotides long. RefSeq lists it as uncharacterized. The record is from RefSeq and is a predicted model, not a curated record. Lineage: Eukaryota; Metazoa; Mollusca; Bivalvia; Ostreida; Ostreidae. The transcript is spliced from 3 exons.
AUUUUUUACCGAAUUAUCGAUCUUUUCGAACUCUUCAGUGCAUGAAGAGUAAAAAAGUCAUUAUUUACAUGGAGGGAAAAUGGCAGCGAUGUCGUCGGGUAUGUGUGAUUUUGGUGAAGAUUGUGAAGAAACGGCGAUAUAUUAUUUGAACGGCUGUGUUAAACAAACCUUUCACCACCUCAAAUAUUUGGACUCUUAACUCUCAGGGUAUAGAUCUGCCCGAAAGUUAUUUAAUUCUAUCCAGAGCGGGUAUCGAUGUAAUCACAUUAGCACAGCUAAACAAGAAUCAGAUGCGUGCUUGGUCUGUACUGGAAACAGAGCGAGAGAUCUUGUGUACAUCGCUUUCAUGGUUUAUCUAAAACGAAACCAGACUGAGGCAUCACACCAGUUUUGAGCCGGGAAUUUUGGUUGCGUCUACAGCUAUCAGUCCCAAUAGAUGAAGAGUUGAGCAGCUGACCUAUUCAACCAUUGCCUCAAUACCUCCACUUAAUCUUAAAGAUUGCACUGAAGUCAACGAUGUUAACAACAAUGCUAAUCCUGCUGAAGAAACUUCAGGCAGCAGAACAGUUUGACAGUGUCCAAGCAAUAGCCAAUGAACUUACAGAAUAAAUGGCUGUGACUGAAACUCAUUAAGUUUAAUAUUUUUGUACCGUAGUUUUACUUAUAUUGUUUAUAUAAAUAAUACCUGUACUCAGAUGUGUAUCCCUCAUAUAAUUACAUUUAAUUCAUUGACAUUUAUUAAAGUGGGAAUUGAUCAACUUCGAGGGUUUCAACAAACUAUAUCAUUUU